CGGAGGGUGCAAGCGUUAUCCGGAUUCACUGGGUUUAAAGGGUGCGUAGGUGGGUUGGUAAGUCAGUGGUGAAAUCUCCGGGCUUAACUCGGAAACUGCCAUUGAUACUAUCAAUCUUGAAUAUCGCGUAGGUAAGCGGAAUAUGUCAUGUAGCGGUGAAAUGCUUAGAUAUGACAUAGAACACCAAUUGCGAAGGCAGCUUACUUCACGAUCAUUGACACUGAGGCACGAAAGCGUGGGGAGCAAACAGGA
Molecule: ribosomal RNA, 252 nt
Filed under: uncultured prokaryote
Description: partial 16S ribosomal RNA
Rfam family: Bacterial small subunit ribosomal RNA
Source: RNAcentral